Molecule: non-coding RNA, 27 nt
Filed under: Trypanosoma brucei brucei
Lineage: Eukaryota; Euglenozoa; Kinetoplastea; Trypanosomatida; Trypanosomatidae
Source: RNAcentral
AAGAUAGAGAAAUAAAGAUAUCGUUAU